Molecule: small nuclear RNA, 115 nt
Organism: Neogale vison (American mink)
Lineage: Eukaryota; Metazoa; Chordata; Mammalia; Carnivora; Mustelidae
Gene: U4
Rfam family: U4 spliceosomal RNA
About the family: U4 small nuclear RNA (U4 snRNA) is a component of the major U2-dependent spliceosome. The structure of U4 snRNA from yeast and human has been reported. U4 snRNA presents a k-turn RNA motif in the 5p-SL related to recognition of Snu13 protein.
Source: Ensembl
AGCUUUGCACAGUGGCAAUAUCAUAGCCAACGAGGUUUAUCUGAGGCACGAUUAUUGCUAACUGAAAAGUUGUUUCAUUUGUGAUUUUAAACAUUUUUGAGCUAUUUGUCAGACU